GACGAACGCUGGCGGCGUGCCUAAUACAUGCAAGUUGAGCGCUGAAGGUUGGUACUUGUACCAACUGGAUGAGCAGCGAACGGGUGAGUAACGCGUGGGGAAUCUGCCUUUGAGCGGGGGACAACAUUUGGAAACGAAUGCUAAUACCGCAUAAAAACUUUAAACACAAGUUUUAAGUUUGAAAGAUGCAAUUGCAUCACUCAAAGAUGAUCCCGCGUUGUAUUAGCUAGUUGGUGAGGUAAAGGCUCACCAAGGCGAUGAUACAUAGCCGACCUGAGAGGGGGAUCGGCCACAUUGGGACUGAGACACGGCCCAAACUCCUACGGGAGGCAGCAGUAGGGAAUCUUCGGCAAUGGACGAAAGUCUGACCGAGCAACGCCGCGUGAGUGAAGAAGGUUUUCGGAUCGUAAAACUCGGUUGGUAGAGAAGAACGUUGGUGAGAGUGGAAAGCUCAUCAAGUGACGGUAACUACACAGAAAGGGACGGCUAACUACGUG
RNAcentral lists this ribosomal RNA (497 nucleotides) under uncultured bacterium. Its description in RNAcentral is "partial 16S ribosomal RNA". It matches the Rfam family "Bacterial small subunit ribosomal RNA", at positions 28 to 507 of the family's 1533-position model. The record is from RNAcentral.